ACUCAAAGGAAUAGACGGGGGCCCGCACAAGCGGUGGAGCAUGUGGAUUAAUACGUCACUAACCGUAGAACCUUACCCAGGCUUGACAUCUGGGGAACCCCUCGGAAAGGAGGGGGUGCCCGCAAGGGAGCCCCAAGACAGGUGUUGCAUGGCUGUCGUCAGCUCGUGUCGUGAGAUGUUGGGUUAAGUCCCGCAACGAGCGCAACCCUCACCGUAUGUUGCCAGCGUCAAGACGGGCACUCUUACGGAACUGCCCGCGCAAGCGGGAGGAAGGUGGGGACGACGUCAAGUCAGCAUGGCCCUUACGCCUGGGGCUUCACACAUGCUACAAUGGCCGGUACAGAGGGUCCCGAUACCGUGAGGUGGAGGCAAUCCCAAAAAGCCGGUCUCAGUUCGGAUCGCAGGCUGCAACUCGCCUGCGUGAAGGCGGAAUCGCUAGUAACCGCCGGUCAGCUAAACGGCGGUGAAUACGUUCCCGGGCCUUGUACACACCGCCCGU
This 499-nucleotide ribosomal RNA is filed under the name uncultured bacterium. RNAcentral's name for it is "partial 16S ribosomal RNA". It matches the Rfam family "Bacterial small subunit ribosomal RNA", at positions 899 to 1397 of the family's 1533-position model. The record is from RNAcentral.